This 586-nucleotide ribosomal RNA is filed under the name Salmonella enterica. RNAcentral describes it as "partial 23S ribosomal RNA". It matches the Rfam family "Bacterial large subunit ribosomal RNA", at positions 2259 to 2839 of the family's 2925-position model. The record is from RNAcentral. Lineage: Bacteria; Pseudomonadati; Pseudomonadota; Gammaproteobacteria; Enterobacterales; Enterobacteriaceae. RNAcentral also lists the same sequence under 1 other name.
UGGUGGGUAGUUUGACUGGGGCGGUCUCCUCCUAAAGAGUAACGGAGGAGCACGAAGGUUGGCUAAUCCUGGUCGGACAUCAGGAGGUUAGUGCAAUGGCAUAAGCCAGCUUGACUGCGAGCGUGACGGCGCGAGCAGGUGCGAAAGCAGGUCAUAGUGAUCCGGUGGUUCUGAAUGGAAGGGCCAUCGCUCAACGGAUAAAAGGUACUCCGGGGAUAACAGGCUGAUACCGCCCAAGAGUUCAUAUCGACGGCGGUGUUUGGCACCUCGAUGUCGGCUCAUCACAUCCUGGGGCUGAAGUAGGUCCCAAGGGUAUGGCUGUUCGCCAUUUAAAGUGGUACGCGAGCUGGGUUUAGAACGUCGUGAGACAGUUCGGUCCCUAUCUGCCGUGGGCGCUGGAGAACUGAGGGGGGCUGCUCCUAGUACGAGAGGACCGGAGUGGACGCAUCACUGGUGUUCGGGUUGUCAUGCCAAUGGCACUGCCCGGUAGCUAAAUGCGGAAGAGAUAAGUGCUGAAAGCAUCUAAGCACGAAACUUGCCCCGAGAUGAGUUCUCCCUGAGACUUUAGGUCUCCUGAAGGAACGUU